This is a long non-coding RNA of Chloebia gouldiae (Gouldian finch), 1238 nucleotides long. Lineage: Eukaryota; Metazoa; Chordata; Aves; Passeriformes; Passeridae. The record is from Ensembl.
UGGGAAUGGGGAGCGGGGACCCCAGUCCCACUGGGAGCAGGGAGCAGGGCACAAAUCCCACUGGGAGCGGGGCACAAAUCCCACUGGGAGCAGAGAGCAGGGUGGGACAGCUCCAAAUCCCACUGGGAGCAGAGAGCGGGGUGGGACAGCUCCAAAUCCCACUGGGAGCAAGGACCCAAAUCCCACUGGGAAUGGGGAGCGGGAACCCAAAUCCCACUGGGAGCGAGGACCCAAAUCCCACUGGGAAUGGGGAGUGGGACCCAAAUCCCACUGGGAGCAGAGAGCGGGGUGGAACAGCUCCAAAUCCCACUGGGAGUGGGGCAUGGGGACACAAAUCCCACGGGGAUGGGGAGUGGGAACCCAAAUCCCACUGGGAGCAGGGAGUGGGAACCCAAAUCCCACUGGGAGUGGGGUGGGAUAGCUUCAAAUCCCACUGGGAGCAGAGAAAGGGGACGCAAACACUACUGGGAACAGGAAAUGGGGACCGAAAUCCCACUGGGAUUGGGGAAUGGGGACCCAAAUGCCACUGGGAGCAGGGAGUGGGGUGGAACAGCUCAAAAUCCUACUGGGAACAGGGAAUGGGAACCCAAGCCCCACUGGGAUCAGGGAGUGGGGACCCCAAAUCCCACUGGGAUCAGGGAGUGGGAACCCCAAACCCCAGUGGGACCAGGACCCCUGAGGUUUCCUGGCUGCUUCCAGCAGGUCCCGUGGGACACAGAGGGGACACUGGGUGACCUUGGGGUGGCCGGGGCUGGGCAGGGGGUGUUGGGGGUCUGUCCCCACCCUGUCCCUGGUGUCCCCACGCUGUCCCCACCGUGCCACGUCCCCAGGUACCUGCGGCAGAUCUCGGAGCUGACCUUCUCGGAGCCGGCGCAGCUGCAGCAGCUGGAGCAGCUCCGGGGUUACAACCUGGAGCAGGAGAUGAGGAGCCUCAGGGACCUGCUGGAGGCCACCCCGUCCCCGGUGGUCUUCUGCCACAACGACGUGCAGGAGGGUGAGUGCCACCCCCUGUCCCCAAGCCCCCAGACCCCCCAGACCCCCCAUGUCCCCCAACGGCGCUGCCGACCCCGCAGGGAACAUCCUGCUGCUGGCGGGGCGCGAGGGCUCCUCGGACAGCCUCAUGCUCAUCGACUUCGAGUACAGCAGCUACAACUACCGGUGGGCUCGGGCUCCCGGGGGUUUGGGGGGUCCCCGGGGGGUUUGGGGGGUCCCCGGGGGGGUUUGGGGGUCGAUGGGGG